RNAcentral lists this transfer-messenger RNA (365 nucleotides) under Coriobacteriaceae. Its description in RNAcentral is "Collinsella sp900556495 Standard tmRNA". It matches the Rfam family "transfer-messenger RNA". From Rfam's summary of the family: Bacterial tmRNA, also known as 10Sa RNA or SsrA, is named for its dual tRNA and mRNA-like properties. The record is from RNAcentral. RNAcentral also lists the same sequence under 1 other name. Lineage: Bacteria; Bacillati; Actinomycetota; Coriobacteriia; Coriobacteriales.
GGGGGCGACUGGUUUCGACACGAUAGCUCUGAGAGAGGAAGCAGGCCGUGGUCUCCUCGCCACGUUAAACAGGGGUACCGUCAAAUUGAAUUGAUAACAACUCUUCUUAUGAGCCUCUGGCUCUCGCUGCUUAAUUAAUUAGCGGCGCGUCGACCCGGGGAUUUCCCCGACUCCGGUGAGACGUCAUUUCAGGGGAAUGCUCCCGCGCACGUAAUCGGUAUGGCGCGGGCUAAGACCGAACCGGUUGGGGUUUCGCGAGCGUGUCGCUUCGCGCAAGAAGCCCGAGAUUAAAUAAGCGACUGAGCCUGGAGAUGCCGAUCAGGGGGCUUUCGUGGACCGGAGUUCGAUUCUCCGCGCCUCCACCA